CGGGCAAUAGCUCGGUGGUAAAGCUCCCGCCUCGUAUGCGGGAAGACCUGGGUUCGAUUCCCGGCUGCUUAC
Transfer RNA from Toxocara canis (dog roundworm), 72 nucleotides. It matches the Rfam family "tRNA". Rfam says of the family: Transfer RNA (tRNA) molecules are approximately 80 nucleotides in length. Their secondary structure includes four short double-helical elements and three loops (D, anti-codon, and T loops). NCBI's taxonomy places the organism in Eukaryota, Metazoa, Nematoda, Chromadorea, Rhabditida, Toxocaridae. The record is from Rfam.